CUACGGGUUGCUGCAGUGGGGAAUAUUGCACAAUGGGCGCAAGCCUGAUGCAGCCAUGCCGCGUGUAUGAAGAAGGCCUUCGGGUUGUAAAGUACUUUCAGCGGGGAGGAAGGGAGUAAAGUUAAUACCUUUGCUCAUUGACGUUACCCGCAGAAGAAGCACCGGCUAACUCCGUGCCAGCAGCCGCGGUAAUACGGAGGGUGCAAGCGUUAAUCGGAAUUACUGGGCGUAAAGCGCACGCGGGCGGUUUGUUAAGUCAGAUGUGAAAUCCCCGGGCUCAACCUGGGAACUGCAUCUGAUACUGGCAAGCUUGAGUCUCGUAGAGGGGGGUAGAAGUCCAGGUGUAGCGGUGAAAUGCGUAGAGAUCUGGAGGAAUACCGGUGGCGAAGGCGGCCCCCUGGACGAAGACUGACGCUCAGGUGCGAAAGCGUGGGGAGCAAACAGGAUUAGAUACCCGUGUAGUC
Molecule: ribosomal RNA, 464 nt
Filed under: uncultured bacterium
Lineage: Bacteria
Description: partial 16S ribosomal RNA
Rfam family: Bacterial small subunit ribosomal RNA
Source: RNAcentral